UUAGACAAUGCAAAUUUUGGAAUUUGCAUUGAUGCUGCAAUGUGUUAAUAUUUGGGGAGAUGUUGGGAUAAGGCAAAUGUGUUUUGCAUGUUGGACAGAUGUGAAUCUUUGAGGCCCAGAGGACAGGCUGUGGUAAGCAGAAUAAUGGGCUCCCAAAGAUGCCUACAUCCUAAUUGCCAGAACCUGUUAUAUUACAUGGCAAAGAAGAAUUAAAUUUGCGGGUGGAAUUUGGGUUGCUAAUCAGCUGAUAUCCUGCAUUAUCUCCAUGGGCCCAAUGUAAUUACAGAGUCUUUAUAUGUGGAGGAAGAAGGCAGAAAAGCCUGUGUCAGACUUAUGUGAUGUGAGAAACCCUUGACUGGCCAUUUCUGGCUUUGAAAAUGGAGGAAGGCAUGAGCCAAGGAAUGACAGGAAACUCUAGAAUCUGGAAAAGGAAAGAAAAUUGAUUUUCCCCUGGAGUUUCCUGAAAGGAAUGCAGCUCUGCCCCAUCUUGAUUUAGGCCCAGUGAGAACCAUUUAAAACGUCUGACCUCCAGAACUGUAAGGUCUAGUGGGGAACAUUAGUGCAGCUCAGCAAUAUUUCCAGUUAUUCUCUGUCUGGGCAUACUGAAGGAUUGCAUGGUGCUACUCCUCUUUGAAGAUGACAGAGGCCACAUGAUUUGCUUUGGCUGAUAAAUAGUGAGUGGAAGAAAUAUGCACCACUUUCAGAUGAAAAUAAUCAAUAACUGUAACUUGGCUUGUCAAACUGCUUUUUAUAUUCUUUCAUGUCAUUCAUGGAGGUGUCAUAAAAUUCACGCAUCCUGGAAAGCUGAGCCAACACAGAAGACAACUGACCUGGAAUGUCAGCCAGGCGUGUGAUGUAUUUUGCACAAGAUAUUUUUAUUGGAUUAAGCCACUGAGAUUUAGGGGCUGCCCGUUAACACAGCAAAGCUCAUCUUAUGCUACCUAUGUCUUCUACACCUGUGAAAUGUCUAUGGUGACUAUUAGAAUGUGUUUGAAUACAGCUGAACUUACUCUACCAAAUAUUAAAUAUUUAAGUGUUCUAAUUAGGUAAAAUUUGGAAAUCUUUGCAUAUCAUGGAUUUUUAUAUCAGCCCAAGUAUUUGAAAUACGUAGAAUAGUAUAUGAACAUGGCAGUAACAUGACAAAUAAGCAUCCCUUAGUAUUUAAAGGGCACUUAUAAAGUCUUUAUUAUCCUGGAAUAUUUAGUUCAAUGAAUACAAUAACAUCACAAGAAAGAAAACAUCAUGAAUAGAUAAAAUGUAGUUAUCCAUUUAUUUCUUAUUUCUGUAUUCACCAGGAAAGUUUUUUCUGUGUGUUCUUUUAUUUGUAAACAGCUACUUGGUAACUAAGAGGCAUUAAAUUAAAGACUAACUUGACUUUGCCAGGUCAUCAAAUUCUGAUCCAUAAUGAACUCUGUGUAUAAAUAAAAAGCAGAUCAUUUUUUUCCAUCAAAGAGGUAGUUCUUUACAUUUCUAAAUCCAAGUCUCUCAAUAUUCACUCUUUGUAGAAUUUUUAUAA
Molecule: long non-coding RNA, 1516 nt
Filed under: Equus caballus (horse)
Lineage: Eukaryota; Metazoa; Chordata; Mammalia; Perissodactyla; Equidae
Description: lncRNA (ENSECAG00000054122.1)
Source: RNAcentral